UGGAAAUGUCGGAAGGUGGACUAGCCACAU
Molecule: non-coding RNA, 30 nt
Filed under: Mus musculus (house mouse)
Lineage: Eukaryota; Metazoa; Chordata; Mammalia; Rodentia; Muridae
Source: RNAcentral